UCCCUGGUAGCUCAGAUGGUAAAGAACUUGUCUGCAGUGUAAGAGACCCAGGUUCAAUACCUGGAUGGGGAA
This 72-nucleotide transfer RNA is filed under the name Bos taurus (domestic cattle). It matches the Rfam family "tRNA". Rfam says of the family: Transfer RNA (tRNA) molecules are approximately 80 nucleotides in length. Lineage: Eukaryota; Metazoa; Chordata; Mammalia; Artiodactyla; Bovidae. RNAcentral also lists the same sequence under 1 other name. The record is from Rfam by way of RNAcentral.